GUGCCAGCCGCCGCGGUAAUUCCAGCUCCAAUAGCGUAUAUUAAAGUUGUUGUGGUUAAAAAGCUCGUAGUUGAACCUUGGGCCUGGCUGGCCGGUCCGCCUCACCGCGUGCACUGGUCCGGCCGGGCCUUUCCCUCUGUGGAACCCCAUACCCUUCACUGGGCGUGGCGGGGAAACAGGACAUUUACUUUGAAAAAAUUAGAGUGCUCCAGGCAGGCCUAUGCUCGAAUACAUUAGCAUGGAAUAAUAAAAUAGGACGCGCGGUUCUAUUUUGUUGGUUUAUAGGACCGCCGUAAUGAUUAAUAGGGACAGUCGGGGGCAUCAGUAUUCAACUGUCAGAGGUGAAAUUCUUGGAUCAGUUGAAGACUAACUACUGCGAAAGCAUUUGCCAAGGAUGUUUUCAUUAAUCAGGAACGAAAGUUAGGGGAUCGAAGACGAUCAGAUACCGUCGUAGUCUUAACCAUAAACUAUGCCGACUAGGGAUCGGACGGUGUUAUUCAUGACCCGUUCGGCACCUUACGAGAAAUCAAAGUGCUUGGGCUCCAGGGGGAGUAUGGUCGCAAGGCUGAAACUUAAAGAAAUUGACGGAAGGGCACCACCAGGGGUGGAGCCUGCGGCUUAAUUUGACUCAACACGGGGAAACUCACCAGGUCCAGACACAAUAAGGAUUGACAGAUUGAGAGCUCUUUCUUGAUUUUGUGGGUGGUGAUGCAUGGCCGUUCUUAGUUGGUGGGGUGACUUGUCUGCUUGAUUGCGAUAACGAACGAGACCUUUACCUGCUAAAUAGCCCGCAUUGCUCCGGCCAGUGCGCUGGCUUCUUAAAGGGAACUUUCGGC
RNAcentral lists this ribosomal RNA (836 nucleotides) under uncultured fungus. RNAcentral's name for it is "SSU rRNA". It matches the Rfam family "Eukaryotic small subunit ribosomal RNA", at positions 564 to 1428 of the family's 1831-position model. Lineage: Eukaryota; Fungi. The record is from RNAcentral.